CAUUGUAAAGCUUAGAAAGUUUUUUAUUUACAUUAAAAAGGAAGUUAUUAAAUUAACUUACAUUGA
Molecule: transfer RNA, 66 nt
Filed under: Cucujoidea sp. 1 KM-2017
Lineage: Eukaryota; Metazoa; Arthropoda; Insecta; Coleoptera
Description: tRNA-Val
Source: RNAcentral